Molecule: transfer RNA, 2232 nt
Filed under: Homo sapiens (human)
Lineage: Eukaryota; Metazoa; Chordata; Mammalia; Primates; Hominidae
Description: HSALNT0370068
Source: RNAcentral
UUGCAUAUACUGCAUAUAUCGUAGCUUGGACCAAUCAUGUUAACUCAUUUGGACAAAACCAUAUUUUUGUGAUGUAGAUGGAGAGGUUGUAUCACCUUGUUAUAGCCUCAUACAACCCAAUGUGGAGUUACUGUCCACUGUUUUAGCACCCCCAUACCACUCUGUUCAUGUUACUUUCAUGGUUCUUACCAAGUAACAUGAACUUACCCCAACACAUUAUGGCGUUUGGUGGCUUAACAUAUCUGUCUCCUGAUGCUCAAAAAAACCCAUUUUUACUCAGUGUAUCCUCAUCCUUAGUACUUAGCACAGUAUCAGGCUCAUCAGAGUUGACAGUCCAUAAAUACCCGUUGAAAUGGAUGAUCUAAUUUUAAUCCAAACAGGAGAGGGAAGAACAAACCACACCAUGUGCAAAUAUAAUUUCCAGGUAUACUGCUACAUUAGGUUGAAUCAAAAGAAAUUAGUGUUUGGUAUUUUCAAAAUACUAAGCAGAAAACCUCAGGAAUUUUACAAAACAUAUCAUCAAAAUCUAAAACUAUUAAUUUCUCAUAGUCUUGCUAUUCAUUUUCUGUUCAACAAAUAUUUGACACUUACGUGUAGGGCACUAUUUAGUACUAAGAGUCCUGGAGCUUGCAAAUGUGAACGAGCAAGCUUUGCUUCCUGCUAUUAAAGAGAUUAAUAGUCAAAAGUGGUGACUAGUCAUCACUCGCAUAAUCGGUGAAAACAUAAAAGGCGCCCAGUCCAACAGCUUUUCCCACAUUCCUCCCCGCCACCCACCUCCAGAAGGAGUCUUGCUUGGUCACCCAGGCUCACUGCAACCUCCGCCUCCCGGGUUCAAUCAAUUCUUCUGCCUCAGCCUCCGGAGUAGCUGGGAUUACAGGUGCACCCCACCAUGCCCAGCUAAUUUUUGUAUUUUCAGUAGAAAUGGGGUUUCACCAUGUUGGUCAGGCUGGUCUUGAACUCCUGACCUCGUGAUCCACCCACUUUGGCCUUCCAAAGUGCUAGGAUUACAGGUGUAAGCCACUGAGCCUGGCAGUCACACAUUCUUUCAACUGUUUGUUUCCACCUUUAUUAUAAAGUAUUUAUAAAGAGGGAUCCAGAGUCCCUCACCUGGUUCAGAAUCUUGGGUGACCCUUGGCAGGUCACUAACCCUGUGAGCCACAGCCACAUUUGUAAAAGUGGGAUAAUAGUCACACAUUGUGAGGUUGUUCACAGUGUUGGCACAUGGUAAGGGCUAAGACACUUGAUUAGCAUAAUAUUCAAAAUUAGAAAUUGUACACUAUUGUACUCUCUUUCAAAAGGCAAACAGCCUAAAACUGUUUGGAAAAAACAGCUUGUACAGUAUAUUGUACACUUCCUGUGAUAGACUAGUGGACUGAUACACCCACUAAUGCACAGCAGUAAUAGUCCACCUCUUUACACAUUAUGCAUGUUAAGUGACAAAAAAACUCACUUUAAAAGGCCAAAUGAUAAAAACAUCAGCCUUGAGGCUCUUCGAUAUAGAGUAAAUCAUAUCUUCCUGCAAACCAAGGAUUAGUAUCAUAAUACCUGAAAGAGGAAAACUUAAUUCUAACAUUCAAGAAAAUUGGCGGCAGGAAUACACCUCGGCUUCUAGUAGUCGGUAGUUUAAAAUACAGGAGGAAAAAAAAAAAGUUUGACCCCGACGUGAUUCGAACACGCAGCCUUCUGAUCUGGAGUCAGACGCGCUACCGUUGCGCCACGAGGUCCUGCUGGGCUGUGGCUCGCGCAGUUUCUUAGGACACCAGUAAAUGGCGUUUCUUCCAGGGGUUCCGCGCGCUGAGUUCGCGACCUCGAGUUGUAAUCUGGCGGGGCGCCACUAAGCCGGCGCAGGCCUUCGCAAGAUGGCGGCUGGAGGCAAGGGCAGAGGCCUUCAGAGCGUUUUCUUUUUCCCUUUCCUCCCUUCCUGCAAACAAUGUGGCUACAGUUUAACUGGAAGUGACAAACUGAGGAAACUGAGGCACUGGAAGAUGAAGGCUACAGAGGUAGAAAGUGAUGGAGGAGAUACAUCCAGAAGACUGCAUUACAAUUUCAAAUCAAAGCUGGACAAGUUUUUUUUUUUUUUUACACAGAUAUCACCAUGUUAGAAAAGUUGGACAAGUUUUGAAACCAUUCUGAACCUAUCAUUCCUGUCUUUCAAAUCCUUCCAAGGCAUCUUAUUAUUGAUUUGUUUCUAUAUUUUCCUCAUUAUUAAAGAGGUUGAGUAUCUUUUCUCUA